AUCCUGGCUCAGGAUGAACGCUUAGCGGCAGGCUUAAUCAUGCAAGUCGAGGGCUCAGCAAUGGGACCGGCGCACGGGUGCGUAACACGUAUGCAACCUGCCUGUAUCUGGGGGAUAGCCCGAGGAAACUCGGAUUAAUACCGCAUACCACUGAGGGUCGGCAUCGAUUUUCAGUGAAAGAUUUAUCGGAUACAGAUGGGCAUGCGCAGGAUUAGCUAGUUGGUGUGGUAACGGCACACCAAGGCGACGAUCCUUAGGGGCUCUGAGAGGAGUAACCCCCACACUGGCACUGAGAUACGGGCCAGACUCCUACGGGAGGCAGCAGUAGGGAAUAUUGGGCAAUGGAGGCAACUCUGACCCAGCCAUGCCGCGUGCAGGAAGACGGCCCUCUGGGUUGUAAACUGCUUUUAAGUAGGAGGAAAGUGCAGCUUGCGAGCUGUUUUGACGUUACUACUAGAAUAAGCCACGGCUAACUACGUG
Molecule: ribosomal RNA, 480 nt
Filed under: uncultured bacterium
Lineage: Bacteria
Description: bacterial SSU rRNA
Rfam family: Bacterial small subunit ribosomal RNA
Source: RNAcentral